This 1424-nucleotide ribosomal RNA is filed under the name uncultured bacterium. RNAcentral describes it as "bacterial SSU rRNA". It matches the Rfam family "Bacterial small subunit ribosomal RNA". The record is from RNAcentral.
GAGUUUGAUCCUGGCUCAGGAUGAACGCUGGCGGCGUGCCUAAGGCAUGCAAGUCGAACGGGUUUAGACCCGUGGCAGACGGGUGAGUAACGCGUAGGAAUCUACCUUUUGGCGGGGGAUAGCUCAGCGAAAGUUGGGGUAAUCCCGCAUAAAAUCGCAAGAUAAAAGGCCGUAACUGGCCACCGAAAGAGGAGCCUGCGUCCUAUCAGCUUGUUGGUGAGGUAACGGCCCACCAAGGCAAUGACGGGUAGGGGACGUGAGAGCGUGUUCCCCCACAAGGCCACUGAGAUACGGGGCCUACUUCUACGGAAGGCAGCAACUAGGAAUUUUGCGCAAUGGGCGAAAGCCUGACGCAGCGACGCCGCGUGCGGGAUGAAGACCUUCGGGUUGUAAACCGCUGUGGAGAGGGAAAAUAAUGAUGGUACCUCUCUAGAAAGCACCUGCUAACUACGUGCCAGAAGCCUCGGUGAUACGUAGGGUGCAAGCGUUAUCCGGAUUUACUGGGCGUAAAGAGUAUCGUAGGCGGUUUGGUAAGUGACUGGUGAAAUCUCCCGACUCAAUCGGGAAACUGCCGGUCAUACUAUCAAACUGGAGUAGUUUCGGGAUAGCUGGAAUUCUCGGUGUAGGGGUGAAAUCCGUUGAUAUCGAGAAGAACACCAAGGGCGAAGGCAGGCUAUUAGGAACUUACUGACGCUGAUGAACGAAAGCUAGGGGAGCAAACGGGAUUAGAGACCCCGGUAGUCCUAGCCGUAAACAAUGUCCACUAGUUACUUCCCGUUUAGGGAGGCGACGUAAGCUAACGCGUUAAGUGGACCGCCUGGGGAGUACGGCCGCAAGGCUAAAACUCAAAGGAAUUGGCGGGGAAACGCACAACCAGGGGAGCAUGUGGUUUAAUUCGAUACGAAGCGUUGAACCUUACCUGGGCUUGACAUUCUAAUGAUCGACUAGGGAAACUUAGUUUUUGCGCAAGCACAUUAGAACAGCUGCUGCAUGGCUAUCGUAAGCUCGUACCGUGAGGCGUCGGUUUCAGUACCGUAACGAGCGCAACCCCUUUGACGUGUUAAAUAUUCACGUCAGACUGCCCCGAUUUAAUCGGGGAGGAAGGCGGGGACGACGUUAAGUCAGCACGGCGCUUACGCCCAGGGCAACACACAUCCUACAAUGGUGAGGGGCAAAGGGUUGCGAAACCGCAAGGCGGAGCUAAUCCCAUAAACCCUCCCUCAGUUCAGAUUGCGGGCUGAAAUUCGCCCGCAUGAAGCCGGACUUGGUAGUAAUCGCGGAUCAGCAGACCGCGGUGAAUACGUUCUCGUUUCUUGCACACACCGCCCGUCACAUGAGGAGAGUCGACAGCGCCCGAAAGCUCGAUUUUAUCGGGUCUAAGGUGAGGCCGAUAAUCAGCGUGAAGUCGUAACAAGGUAACCGUA